AUACGGAGGGUGCAAGCGUUACUCGGAAUCACUGGGCGUAAGGCGCGCGCAGGCGGCUAUUUAAGUUGGAUGUGAAAGCCUAUGGCUCAACCAUAGAACUGCAUCCAAAACUAUUUAGCUAGAGUGUGGGAGAGGAAGAUGGAAUUAGUUGUGUAGGGGUAAAAUCCGUAGAGAUAACUAGGAAUACCAAAAGCGAAGGCAAUCUUCUGGAACACUACUGACGCUGAGGCGCGAAAGCGUGGGGAGCAAACAGGAUUAGAAACCCUAGUAGUCC
Molecule: ribosomal RNA, 274 nt
Filed under: uncultured bacterium
Lineage: Bacteria
Description: partial 16S ribosomal RNA
Rfam family: Bacterial small subunit ribosomal RNA
Source: RNAcentral